RNAcentral lists this ribosomal RNA (465 nucleotides) under uncultured bacterium. RNAcentral's name for it is "partial 16S ribosomal RNA". It matches the Rfam family "Bacterial small subunit ribosomal RNA", at positions 28 to 507 of the family's 1533-position model. The record is from RNAcentral.
GAUGAACGCUGGCGGCGUGCUUAACACAUGCAAGUCGAACGGAAAGGCUCCUGCUUGCAGGGGUACUCGAGUGGCGAACGGGUGAGUAACACGUGGGUGAUCUGCCCUGCACCUCGGGAUAAGCCUGGGAAACUGGGUCUAAUACCGGAUAGGACCACAUUUUGGAUGGUGUGGUGGAAAGUUUUUCGGUGUGGGAUGAGCUCGCGGCCUAUCAGCUUGUUGGUGGGGUAAUGGCCUACCAAGGCGUCGACGGGUAGCCGGCCUGAGAGGGUGUACGGCCACAUUGGGACUGAGAUACGGCCCAGACUCCUACGGGAGGCAGCAGUGGGGAAUAUUGCACAAUGGGCGCAAGCCUGAUGCAGCGACGCCGCGUGGGGGAUGACGGCCUUCGGGUUGUAAACUCCUUUCACUAGGGACGAAGCGCAAGUGACGGUACCUGGAGAAGAAGCACCGGCUAACUACGUG